GGCUGCGCGCGCCGCGGGUGGGCGGGGCCUGGCGGGGCAUCGGCCGGCGGGAGCCCCGCAACCCCUCACUGCCCUCGGAGCCACCGGUUCGAGUCCCGCGCCCGCGCCCCGCCCGGCUGAGAUGCCAACGCUCCAGUGAGCAGAGACAGCCACGGGGAGAGCGUGGAGCCCAUGUGAGUGCCCAGGGUCAGGGUGGGGCUGCUGGGGAGCAUCCCUGUGCCAGGGCAGGGGGUGCCAGGGAUGGAUCCCUGUGCCAGGGCAGGGGGUGCCAGGGAUGGAUCCCUGUGCCAGGGCAGGGGGUGCCUGGGUUGGAUCCCUGUGCCGGGUCAGGGGAUGCCUGGGUUGGAUCCCUGGUCAGGGCUGAGGGUGCCAAGGAUGGAUCCCUGUGCCAGGAUAGGACAGGGUGUUCCAGGGAUGGAUCCCUGGUCAGGGCAGGGUGUUCCAGGGUUGGAUCCCUGGUCAGGGUCAGGUUGUGCCAGGGAUGGAUCCCUGUGCCAGGGCAGGGGGUGCAGGGAUGGAUCCCUGUGCCAGGGCAGGGGGUGCCAGGGAUGGAUCCCUGUGCUGGGAUAGGACAGGUUGUGCCAGGGAUGGAUCCCUGUGCCAGGGCAGGGUGUUCCAGGGAUGGAUCCCUGGUCAGGGUCAGGCUCGGGGGGCUGAGCUGGGGCUGUCCCGCAGUGACAUUCCGGCCGGCAGUGCUGCAGCACGUCCAUCCCGGGGCAGCCCAAGGUCCCCCAGCUGUCGCUGUCACUGUCACUGCUCCGUGCCGGUGGACAGCUCUCCCUGGUGCCUCUGACCAACACCAAACCCGGCUGAGCACCGAGCCCGGACACACGGACACACGGACCCCGCCCUCAGUGGAUGCUGCAGCCCCAGCCCAGCCCCGAGGGGGCUCCGGGGGGAUCCCAAGCACAGCCUGGGGGUCUCCAGCCCACCCGUGUGUGUCGGGGCUAACUCGUGGCUAAAUCCAUCUUAAAUAACGUAAAAUACACCCCUGUUUAAGGCUGUUGAGGUGAACGCACGGCCCAGGUGCUGCAGGAGCCGGGUUGGUGCCUCUCGCUGGGCUCAGCCCCGGGGACCCCCAGAGCAGCGUGUCCCUGUCCCCCCGGCCAGCCCUGUGCCCUCCCAGCAGGGAAUAGAGGAGGAGAGUCCCUGGCGCGGUGUCUCCGAGCAGGACCCGGGCCAGCCCGAGGCAGGGACAGGAGCCGGACAUGCCAGAGCCAGCCCCGCUCGGCGGGGACAGGAGAGCGGCGGAGAAGAAGCGGGUGGAGAAGGUGGGAGCCAAGGGCAGCGCUGCCGGGCCUCCAGGUGGGUGUGUGGGAAAGCCCUUCCCUGCCCCAGAACGGCCACCCUGGCCCCAGGGGACCACAGAGGCACAGUCCCGUGUCCCCGGCCAGCCCGGGGGCACUGCCUGGCCAUGGAGCAGUGACAGGAGGAGCUGUGCUCUCCGCAGUCCCCGGGGAUAUCAGUGACCCGGGGAAGGUGAUGGUGCUCCUCAGCAGCCUGCCAGAUUCCCCACUUCCUCCUCCUCCUUCUCUCCACCCUGCCCAGAUUCGCUG
This 1556-nucleotide long non-coding RNA is filed under the name Parus major (Great Tit). RNAcentral describes it as "lncRNA (ENSPMJG00000010607.1)". Lineage: Eukaryota; Metazoa; Chordata; Aves; Passeriformes; Paridae. The record is from RNAcentral.